GAUGAACGCUGGCGGCGUGCCUAAUACAUGCAAGUCGAACGAAACUUCUUUAUCACCGAGUGCUUGCACUCACCGAUAAAGAGUUGAGUGGCGAACGGGUGAGUAACACGUGGGCAACCUGCCCAAAAGAGGGGGAUAACACUUGGAAACAGGUGCUAAUACCGCAUAACCAUAGUUACCGCAUGGUAACUAUGUAAAAGGUGGCUAUACUACCGCUUUUGGAUGGGCCCGCGGCGCAUUAGCUAGUUGGUAGGGUAAAGGCUUACCAAGGCAAUGAUGCGUAGCCGAAUUGAGAGGUUGAUCGGCCACAUUGGGACUGAGACACGGCCCAAACUCCUACGGGAGGCAGCAGUAGGGAAUCUUCCACAAUGGGCGAAAGCCUGAUGGAGCAACGCCGCGUGGGUGAAGAAGGUCUUCGGAUCGUAAAACCCUGUUGUUAGAGAAGAAGGUGCGUGAGAGUAACUGUUCACGUUUCGACGGUAUCUAACCGGAAAGCCACGGCUAACUACGUG
Molecule: ribosomal RNA, 512 nt
Filed under: uncultured bacterium
Lineage: Bacteria
Description: partial 16S ribosomal RNA
Rfam family: Bacterial small subunit ribosomal RNA
Source: RNAcentral